CUGAGGUUUUUGGUACUUGCAGCUUAAAGCCUCCCCUUACUAUAACAGCCAUCCAUUAUUAUUUUCUUUUACAAAUGAAGAAACUGAGCAAGAAAAGCGGCUGUGAAUUUGAGGAACUCUGAAAUUAGAAUAACAGAGAUGAAGCCCGCCUUGAGAGCCUGCAGAGCCCUGGGCAUCAGUCCCCAUCUGGGUUAGCAGCAAGGUAACCAGCCUGUCUCUCUGGGCCAGUCUGCCUUCAUCAUAUAGUCAGUCAUUCUGGUGGAUGCUGGAUGGGCUCCUUCUUCAGAAACAGAUGGGGAGAGCGGCAAGACGAUAAGGGGGUUUGGAGUGAGGCUCUGGGCAUUCCCAUUUCUAACAAGCUCCCGAGUGGUGCCACGCUACUGAUCCAGGGACCACACAUGGAGAACCGCUGAUGACAGCUUCAAAAGCCAGAACCAAGUGUGUGGAAAGAGCAUGAACAGGCACGCCUCAGAGAGGACCUCCAAACUGGUUGCAUGGUGGAGCCCAAACCAUGAUCUAGAACAAAAUGGGAAUGCCCAUCCGAAUAACCUGAAGAAGAAGAAGAAAACAAAACCAAAACCAAUCUUUAGGCCUGAUAAUCACUGGUUCUGAUUUGCUAGUUUAA
Odocoileus virginianus texanus is the source of this 625-nucleotide non-coding RNA. Lineage: Eukaryota; Metazoa; Chordata; Mammalia; Artiodactyla; Cervidae. The record is from RefSeq and is a predicted model, not a curated record.